UUUUCUUCAAAAUCUUCAGCCACAGUGCACAGGUUCUCAGGGUAAAAUGAGGGAUACAACGCGAUGAGAAAACAAUGUAUUAUUUUCUUACCUUCAAGUGUAACUGGAAGAUGCUGUGUUUUGACCAAUCCUGGUCUUUAUUUCUCCAAGUGAUUUUGCUUUCUCUGCUGGGAUGGCCUAAGUCAAUUACCCUUCUCUCCCUGAGGCGUUGUUUAUCUUCAUUCUUGGAAGAAAAGAAUUCAUAGUCUCCUCCAGCAAAAUUGCCAAUCUGCUUGAAACUAUUGCGCUUUCCAUGGAUACUGAAAUGCACUCUCCACGGGAGAUCUGGAGUUGAGGGUCAAGAUCACCUAUAAAUGUUGCCCAGGGAUUAUGCUCAGAAAAAUUCCUCCUUCCUUUAAGUUUUUGAGAAAGAACCUGAUUCGGACUUCUCUCUCAGCACCUCAGAUUGCCUGGGUAAUCAGGAUUUCAUGGAAAUGAAAAUUGGAGUGGUGUAAUGGCUAGAAAUUCAAACCCAGGAUGGACUAUCAGAAAUUGCUGAUAAGCUUUUACUGAGAAUAAAAUUUUACAGUUUAAAUGUUGGCCCUUUGGGAUCACUCAUCCAAUGCCCUCGUUUUAUUAAUGAGGAAAUCAAGGUCCAGAGAUAUGAGUGACAUGCCCAAAGUCUCGAUGUUAGAGUGGAAGAAAACCAUGAACUUGGACCUUCUCAUUCCUUUCCCAGUAUUGUGCCUGUAUUACUGUUCCAGUUUU
This 747-nucleotide long non-coding RNA is filed under the name Equus asinus (donkey). RNAcentral describes it as "lncRNA (ENSEASG00005029626.1)". Lineage: Eukaryota; Metazoa; Chordata; Mammalia; Perissodactyla; Equidae. The record is from RNAcentral.